CGUAUACUAAAGUUGUUGCAGUUAAAAAGCUCGUAGUUGAAUUUCUGGUCUCGAGACGCGGUCAGCCCCAAGGGGUUUGUACUUGCGGAUUGGGACCAUCCUCGAGAAGAACAUAUCUGUCAUUGAGUUGAUGGGUAUGGGAAUCUCGUCAUUUACUGUGAGCAAAAUAGAGUGUUCAAAGCAGGCUUACGCCGUUGAAUACAUUAGCAUGGAAUAAUAAGAUAGGACCUUGGUCUAUUUUGUUGGUUAGUUCUCCAAGGUAAUGAUUAAUAGGGACAGUUGGGGGUAUUCGUAUUCAAUUGUCAGAGGUGAAAUUCUUGGAUUUAUGGAAGACGAACUACUGCGAAAGCAUUUACCAAGGAUGUUUUCAUUAAUCAAGAACGAAAGUUAGGGGAUCGAAGAUGAUUAGAUACCAUCGUAGUCUUAACCAUAAACUAUGCCGACUAGGGAUUGGUGGGUGUUAUUAGCGACUCCAUCAGCACCUUAUGAGAAAUCAAAGUCUUUGGGUUCCGGGG
This 515-nucleotide ribosomal RNA is filed under the name uncultured eukaryote. RNAcentral describes it as "SSU rRNA". It matches the Rfam family "Eukaryotic small subunit ribosomal RNA", at positions 598 to 1119 of the family's 1831-position model. The record is from RNAcentral.